UACGAAGGGGGCUAGCGUUGCUCGGAAUCACUGGGCGUAAAGCGCACGUAGGCGGAUUGUUAAGUCAGGGGUGAAAUCCUGGAGCUCAACUCCAGAACUGCCUUUGAUACUGGCGAUCUUGAGUCCGGGAGAGGUGAGUGGAACUGCGAGUGUAGAGGUGAAAUUCGUAGAUAUUCGCAAGAACACCAGUGGCGAAGGCGAGUCUCUGGACAUUUCCUGACGCUGAGGCACGAAAGCCAGGGGAGCAAACGGG
This 253-nucleotide ribosomal RNA is filed under the name uncultured bacterium. Its description in RNAcentral is "partial 16S ribosomal RNA". It matches the Rfam family "Bacterial small subunit ribosomal RNA", at positions 524 to 776 of the family's 1533-position model. The record is from RNAcentral.